AGGCAGAUGGCGGAGUGGUCUAACGCGCCACGUUUAGGCCGUGGUCCAGCAAUGGGCGUGGGUUCGAACCCCACUCUGCUCA
Non-coding RNA from Irineochytrium annulatum, 82 nucleotides. Lineage: Eukaryota; Fungi; Chytridiomycota; Chytridiomycetes; Chytridiales; Chytridiaceae. The record is from the annotation of a GenBank genome assembly.